UUGGUCGAUCAAUCCUUGGUUUUGAUGAUUAACAAACCAAAAUGUAGAUUUGGGCUAAUGUUUUUAUGUGAGUAAUUUGUUAGAACAGAUUCUUGUGGCACAAAAGAAGAAGCAAAAAAAGGGCACUCAUGUCGGACGCUAUCGGACGUCCGAAAGGAUGAAGAACAUCAAGAAGGAAACUCUGUCGGACGCACAUCGAUCGCAUCGGACGUCCGAGAAAUUUCGCAAAGAUUUGAUGACUCUCUGACGACGUUCGGACGCAGGGUUCGGACGUCCGACAGGUGGUUUGGACGCAGGGUUCGG
This 303-nucleotide long non-coding RNA is filed under the name Coffea arabica (coffee). RNAcentral's name for it is "long non-coding RNA (CARA_LNC005392)". The record is from RNAcentral. Lineage: Eukaryota; Viridiplantae; Streptophyta; Magnoliopsida; Gentianales; Rubiaceae.